AAACAGCCAUGACAGUGAAGGGUGGUUUGUGAGGAUGAGACUCAUCCAUCACACUCUGGGCGUGCAGACCCUUGCCGUUUCCCCAAAUGUGGGAAAUGGGAUGGCACAAUUUGUAUAUGUUUUACAGUAAU
RNAcentral lists this small nuclear RNA (131 nucleotides) under Pogona vitticeps (central bearded dragon). RNAcentral describes it as "U1 spliceosomal RNA (ENSPVIG00000004836.1)". The record is from RNAcentral. Lineage: Eukaryota; Metazoa; Chordata; Lepidosauria; Squamata; Agamidae.